UUUUACAAUGAAGAGUUUGAUCCUGGCUCAGGAUGAACGCUAGCUACAGGCCUAACACAUGCAAGUCGAGGGGCAGCAUGAUUGAAGCUUGCUUCAAUUGAUGGCGACCGGCGCACGGGUGAGUAACGCGUAUCCAACCUGCCCUUUACUCGGGGAUAGCCUUUCGAAAGAAAGAUUAAUACCCGAUGGUUUCGGGAUUCCGCAUGAGAUUCCGAAUAAAGAUUUAUCGGUAAAGGAUGGGGAUGCGUUCCAUUAGAUAGUAGGCGGGGUAACGGCCCACCUAGUCGACGAUGGAUAGGGGUUCUGAGAGGAAGGUCCCCCACAUUGGAACUGAGACACGGUCCAAACUCCUACGGGAGGCAGCAGUGAGGAAUAUUGGUCAAUGGACGAGAGUCUGAACCAGCCAAGUAGCGUGAAGGAUGACUGCCCUAUGGGUUGUAAACUUCUUUUAUAUGGGAAUAAAAAAGGUCACGUGUGGCCUAUUGUAUGUACCUUAUGAAUAAGCAUCGGCUAAUUCCGUGCCAGCAGCCGCGGUAAUACGGAAGAUGCGAGCGUUAUCCGGAUUUAUUGGGUUUAAAGGGAGCGUAGGCGGGCGAUUAAGUCAGCGGUAAAAUAGUGUGGCUCAACCAUGCUCUGCCGUUGAUACUGGUUGCCUUGAGUGCACACAAGGAAGAUGGAAUUCGUGGUGUAGCGGUGAAAUGCUUAGAUAUCACGAAGAACUCCGAUUGCGAAGGCAGUCUUCUGGGGUGUUACUGACGCUGAGGCUCGAAAGUGCGGGUAUCAAACAGGAUUAGAUACCCUGGUAGUCCGCACCGUAAACGAUGAAUACUCGCUGUUGGCGAUACAAUGUCAGCGGCCAAGCGAAAGCAUUAAGUAUUCCACCUGGGGAGUACGCCGGCAACGGUGAAACUCAAAGGAAUUGACGGGGGCCCGCACAAGCGGAGGAACAUGUGGUUUAAUUCGAUGAUACGCGAGGAACCUUACCCGGGCUUGAAUUGCAGGUGCAUGGAUCAGAGAUGGUCCUUUCCUUCGGGACUCCUGUGAAGGUGCUGCAUGGUUGUCGUCAGCUCGUGCCGUGAGGUGUCGGCUUAAGUGCCAUAACGAGCGCAACCCUUUUCCAAAGUUACCAUCAGGUAAUGCUGGGGACUCUUUGGAUACUGCCAUCGUAAGAUGUGAGGAAGGUGGGGAUGACGUCAAAUCAGCACGGCCCUUACGUCCGGGGCUACACACGUGUUACAAUGGGGGGUACAGAGGGCAGCUACCAUGUGACUGGAUGCGAAUCCCGAAAACCCUUCUNNNNNNNNNNUGGAUGCGAAUCCCGAAAACCCUUCUCAGUUCGGACUGGAGUCUGCAACCCGACUCCACGAAGCUGGAUUCGCUAGUAAUCGCGCAUCAGCCAUGGCGCGGUGAAUACGUUCCCGGGCCUUGUACACACCGCCCGUCAAGCCAUGAAAGCCGGGGGUGCCUGAAGUCCGUAACCGCAAGGGGCGGCCUAGGGUAAAACUGGUGAUUGGGGCUAAGUCGUAACAAGGUAGCCGUACCGGAAGGUGCGGCUGGAACACCUCCUUUCUG
RNAcentral lists this ribosomal RNA (1572 nucleotides) under Bacteroides sp. OF04-15BH. RNAcentral's name for it is "bacterial SSU rRNA". It matches the Rfam family "Bacterial small subunit ribosomal RNA". Lineage: Bacteria; Pseudomonadati; Bacteroidota; Bacteroidia; Bacteroidales; Bacteroidaceae. The record is from RNAcentral.